CCGCGGGAUUAGAGUUUGAUCCUGGCUCAGAUUGAACGCUGGCGGCAGGCUUAACACAUGCAAGUCGAGCGGAUGAAGGUAGCUUGCUACUGGAUUCAGCGGCGGACGGGUGAGUAAUGCUUAGGAAUCUGCCUAUUAGUGGGGGACAACGUUCCGAAAGGAGCGCUAAUACCGCAUACGUCCUACGGGAGAAAGCAGGGGACCUUUGGGCCUUGCGCUAAUAGAUGAGCCUAAGUCGGAUUAGCUAGUUGGUAGGGUAAAGGCCUACCAAGGCGACGAUCUGUAGCGGGUCUGAGAGGAUGAUCCGCCACACUGGGACUGAGACACGGCCCAGACUCCUACGGGAGGCAGCAGUGGGGAAUAUUGGACAAUGGGGGGAACCCUGAUCCAGCCAUGCCGCGUGUGUGAAGAAGGCCUUUUGGUUGUAAAGCACUUUAAGCGAGGAGGAGGCUACCUAGAUUAAUACUUUAGGAUAGUGGACGUUACUCGCAGAAUAAGCACCGGCUAACUCUGUGCCAGCAGCCGCGGUAAUACAGAGGGUGCGAGCGUUAAUCGGAUUUACUGGGCGUAAAGCGUGCGUAGGCGGCCAAUUAAGUCAAAUGUGAAAUCCCCGAGCUUAACUUGGGAAUUGCAUUCGAUACUGGUUGGCUAGAGUAUGGGAGAGGAUGGUAGAAUUCCAGGUGUAGCGGUGAAAUGCGUAGAGAUCUGGAGGAAUACCGAUGGCGAAGGCAGCCAUCUGGCCUAAUACUGACGCUGAGGUACGAAAGCAUGGGGAGCAAACAGGAUUAGAUACCCUGGUAGUCCAUGCCGUAAACGAUGUCUACUAGCCGUUGGGGCCCUUGAGGCUUUAGUGGCGCAGCUAACGCGAUAAGUAGACCGCCUGGGGAGUACGGUCGCAAGACUAAAACUCAAAUGAAUUGA
Molecule: ribosomal RNA, 921 nt
Filed under: uncultured Gammaproteobacteria bacterium
Lineage: Bacteria; Pseudomonadati; Pseudomonadota; Gammaproteobacteria
Description: bacterial SSU rRNA
Rfam family: Bacterial small subunit ribosomal RNA
Source: RNAcentral